CUGGAAUCAUUAUCUUUAUAAAGAAGAUUUUAGAAACUGUCAAUUUUACAUCUGUAUUAAAUUUUAAAGAAUGCAUUCAUUUCCAAAGGAGUAGGUUCAGUAAGGCCCCUUUUUGGCCCCAAAAUAUAGCAGUUUUACAAAAUUGUUAAAAUGUAUAUACUUUUAGCUAUUCAUUUGAAAGUAGAAUGCUUCUGCUACAUAAAUAUUGGCUGUGUUUGACAAUACAAUGCACAUAUAUCGGGUACUAGCAUCAUUAAGUCAUGCUAAAUUACUGAAAUCUUCACAAUUUUAGCAUUUUAGUUAAAUUUUAGACGGUUUCCUUCUUAAAUGAAAGUGGCCGCAUUCUUGUUCAUUCUUAAUAUUGAAAUUUAAGUUGUAUUUUAUGAUAAUACAUAAUAUAUAUAAAGGUUGUGGAUGAAC
This 420-nucleotide long non-coding RNA is filed under the name Mytilus galloprovincialis (Mediterranean mussel). The record is from RNAcentral. Lineage: Eukaryota; Metazoa; Mollusca; Bivalvia; Mytilida; Mytilidae.